UACAGAGGGUGCUAGCGUUGUUCGGAAUCAUUGGGCGUAAAGGGCGUGUAGGCGGUUUGUUAAGUCGUGUGUGAAAUCCCUCGGCUCAACCGGGGAAUGGCGCCUGAUACUGGCGGACUCGAGAUCGGUAGGGGUGAGUGGAACUCCAGGUGGAGCGGUGAAAUGCGUAGAUAUCUGGAGGAACACCGGUGGCGAAAGCGACUCACUGGACCGACACUGACGCUGAGGUGCGAAAGCUAGGGUAGCAAACGGG
RNAcentral lists this ribosomal RNA (253 nucleotides) under uncultured bacterium. RNAcentral describes it as "partial 16S ribosomal RNA". It matches the Rfam family "Bacterial small subunit ribosomal RNA", at positions 524 to 776 of the family's 1533-position model. The record is from RNAcentral.